AUGUUCGAAUACAUGAAAACUAACCAUGGUCUCUGUAUGAUAGAAACCUUCAAAAAGAAGGUGUGCUACAUACACAGUGCUACACACACACAGUGCUACACACACACACACAGUGCUACACACACACAGUGCUACACACACACACAGUGCUACACACACACACACAGUGCUACACACACACACAGCGCUACACACACACACAGUGCUACACACACACACAGUGCUACACACACACACAGCGCUACACACACACAGUGCUACAUACACAGUGCUACACACACACACAGUGCUACACACACACACACAGUGCUACACACACACACAGCGCUACACACACACAGUGCUACACACACACACAGUGCUACACACACACACAGCGCUACACACACACAGUGCUACAUACACAGUGCUACACACACACACAGUGCUACACACAGCGCUACACACACACAGUGCUACACACACACACAGUGCUACACACACACACACAGUGCUACACACACACACACAGUGCUACACACACACACAGCGCUACACACACACAGUGCUACACACACACACAGUGCUACACACACACACAGCGCUACACACACACAGUGCUACAUACACAGUGCUACACACACACACACAGUGCUACACACAGCGCUACACACACACAGUGCUACAUACACAGUGCUACACACACACACACAGUGCUACACACACACACAGUGCUACACACACACAGUGCUACAUACACAGUGCUACACACACACACACAGUGCUACACACACAGCGCUACACACACACAGUGCUACAUACACAGUGCUACACACACACACAGUGCUACACACACAGCGCUACACACACACAGUGCUACACACACAGUGCUACACACACAGCACCGCACACACACAUCACUACACACACACAGCGCUAUACACACACAGCGCUACACACACACAGCACUACACACACACAGUGCUACACACACAGUGCUACAUACACACACACACACACACAGUGCUACGCACUACACACACACAGUACUACACACACAGUGCUACACACAUACACACAGUGCUACACACACACAGUGCUACACACACAGUGCUACACACACACACACCACUACACACACACACAGUGCUACACACACACACAUGUACACACACAAAAUGA
RNAcentral lists this long non-coding RNA (1161 nucleotides) under Oncorhynchus mykiss (rainbow trout). RNAcentral describes it as "lncRNA (ENSOMYG00000077037.1)". Lineage: Eukaryota; Metazoa; Chordata; Actinopteri; Salmoniformes; Salmonidae. The record is from RNAcentral.